AUUGAACGCUGGCGGCAGGCCUAACACAUGCAAGUCGAACGGCAGCACAGAAGAGCUUGCUCUUUGGGUGGCGAGUGGCGGACGGGUGAGUAAUGUCUGGGAAACUGCCCGAUGGAGGGGGAUAACUACUGGAAACGGUAGCUAAUACCGCAUAACGUCGCAAGACCAAAGUGGGGGACCUUCGGGCCUCACACCAUCGGAUGUGCCCAGAUGGGAUUAGCUAGUAGGUGGGGUAACGGCCCACCUAGGCGACGAUCCCUAGCUGGUCUGAGAGGAUGACCAGCCACACUGGAACUGAGACACGGUCCAGACUCCUACGGGAGGCAGCAGUGGGGAAUAUUGCACAAUGGGCGCAAGCCUGAUGCAGCCAUGCCGCGUGUAUGGAGAAGGCCUUCGGGUUGUAAAGUACUUUCAGCGGGGAGGAAGGCGAUGUGGUUAAUAACCGCGUCGAUUGACGUUACCCGCAGAAGAAGCACCGGCUAACUCCGUGCCAGCCGCCGCGGUAA
Molecule: ribosomal RNA, 506 nt
Filed under: uncultured bacterium
Lineage: Bacteria
Description: partial 16S ribosomal RNA
Rfam family: Bacterial small subunit ribosomal RNA
Source: RNAcentral